Molecule: long non-coding RNA, 1628 nt
Filed under: Ceratitis capitata (Mediterranean fruit fly)
Lineage: Eukaryota; Metazoa; Arthropoda; Insecta; Diptera; Tephritidae
Description: uncharacterized LOC111591680, transcript variant X4
Source: RNAcentral
GGCUCCUCUUCCAAGAUGCUGACAAUGUAAUCCUUAUGUACCACCGUUUCUUCUCCUAAUAUACAUACAUAUACACAUGAAAAAUGUAUAACCUAUGGAUAACGAGGAAAACGAAGCUGGACGGACAAAAGGGGCAUAAAUGCAAUACAGAAAUGCGUAGAGAGUGGUGGCUAUUAAUCAUAAUAGAGGGAAGAUAAUAUAGCAAUCAUUUUUAUGAUACUCACUUAUCACAUAUAAAUAUUAUAUGGUAUUAAUUAUUAAUUAUAUAGGUAUGUAACACACAUAGACUUACAAAUUUAUUUUCUAAAAGACGGUACACAAUUUUUUUUUUGUAAAUAUUUUUUGUUUUCAACAGUUAAAACGAAAAUUAAGCAGGACGAACACUAAGAAGUACAGGACUAAGAAUAAGUGCAAUUCGACAGUUGGCGCAAUCGUUAUAACGGGGUUAUAAGAAAAAUCCAAGUUUAAAACAUACAUUUGAAGAAAUAACAGAUUUAAAGUGCAUCUCCACGGGUUUCGCAUCAUAUUAUCCGAGACAUGUGCAGUAAAAUUGAGCAUAAAAAACAUAUUUUAUAAUAAACUAAAAGGCUUCUUCAAGCAAGAAACGAAAGAAGAAAAUUUAUUUAAUAGUAAAGAGAUAACUGACUGAGAUGACCGACCAUAAUACAUAUGUUUGCUCUGUGCUUGGUACCGUUGCAAAUGGUACCCGGAUCUAACCCACCAAACAUACAACAAAACCUCCUUUGGCCGUUAAUGCUCGCUUGGAGACUGCUUGUGCCGGCUCACUGCGCUUCGACCACGAACGUUUUCGUUUGACGUUGCUGAAAGUGAUAUACUUCUCCUCAUCACCAGUCAUCAUUUGCUUCCGAUAUAGUUACGAACCAGCAGCGAUACAUAAAUGCCAAAACUAGAAGAAUUGAGCUUCAAAUUCUAUGCACAUUAAUCAUGGGAACAUCCAACAAAAAAGCGCUGACCGCUAAAAAAAUUCGUUCGUUAGAAUUAAAAGAGGUUAUUCUUGAAACUGUAGCCUAUUUGGAGGCGUAAGCGAAAUUAUUCUACAAAAGUGGUUUUGAUGUAUUAACUUCGUUUCAGUGAACAAUUUACUACCCACAUCAUCAUGAAAGUGCCAGUAAAGGAUUAUCCUACCUAUCAAAGGCUGAAGUGGUUUCAAGUUUGAGAAAAAGAUAUCUAUCCCAAACCCCAUAAUAUGACGGUAUGCAUUUUUUCGCCGAAAAGAAGUACUGAGAUAAGAGUGUGAAGAGAUUUAGCAAUAAUAUUUAUCUAUAUGUAACACCUCAGAUUCAGGUUCAUUCUAUCAACUAAAGUUAAAAAAAAAAAUAUUUUUAAUAUUUUUUGAAUAUUUUUAGAAUUUAUGUACGACUACCCCAGACUCCCUGUCAGCAUAGUCUUAUCUAAACAAAAUCACAUUGUACUCGUACAUACUUAAAUAUUAUUUGCUAAAUUUGUUUAUAUUUAUAUAUUUUAUGAAAACAUGUUUCACAGCUAGAUGUCUCAUAUUUUUAACGGUAAUUAAAUUAAUAAUUCCUAAAAUUGUUUAACAAUGAGAGAUAGAUAUAAAAUGCUUGCUUGUGUAUGUGUGUGUGUGUGGGUGUGUGUGCUUGUGGCAU